This 254-nucleotide ribosomal RNA is filed under the name Salmonella enterica subsp. enterica serovar Anatum. RNAcentral describes it as "partial 23S ribosomal RNA". It matches the Rfam family "Bacterial large subunit ribosomal RNA", at positions 1307 to 1480 of the family's 2925-position model. Lineage: Bacteria; Pseudomonadati; Pseudomonadota; Gammaproteobacteria; Enterobacterales; Enterobacteriaceae. The record is from RNAcentral.
UAACGAUAAAGCGGGUGAAAAGCCCGCUCGCCGGAAGACCAAGGGUUCCUGUCCAACGUUAAUCGGGGCAGGGUGAGUCGACCCCUAAGGCGAGGCCGAAAGGCGUAGUCGAUGGGAAACAGGUUAAGCUUUGCGCACCAGGGGCGGUGAAUACGCACGCCAGUUAAUCCAGACGCCUUACGGCAGCGCAUGGAUGUAUGUAUAUCAACGUCCUGUUGAUGGGUUAACUCUGAUUGAAAGCGGUGACUGGUUAG